Theobroma cacao (cacao) is the source of this 471-nucleotide long non-coding RNA. RefSeq lists it as uncharacterized. The record is from RefSeq and is a predicted model, not a curated record. Lineage: Eukaryota; Viridiplantae; Streptophyta; Magnoliopsida; Malvales; Malvaceae.
CUAGCCCUCCCAAAGCCCUGGUAACACAAUCCACUCCAAGUACAUUUUCUAUCUCUAACAUUGUGUUGUAAGAGAGGUUGGAAGGGUCUGAGUAUUUUUGUGUUCUAGGGAGAAAAUGGGGCCAGGAGGACCAGGAGGACCGGGAGGGCCGCCGGGAUGGGGUGGUCCUCCUCCCGGACCGGGUUUUUUCGGAGGUUUUUGUGACAUUAUCGGUGCUUGUGUGAACUUCCUAUGCUGCUGCUGGUUGCUUCAAGACUGUUUUGGUGGUCCCAUGGGUCCACCAGGGCCUCCUGGAUUUGGACCUCCUCCACCAUAAGCAGCCUGCUUCCUGCAAUACAAAAAACAUGGAGACUUUCUGUCUUUGUAUUACACUGCACAUCUACCUAACUAUUUAUAUCAUGUAAUAAUUUAUUUCAUUUUUAGUAGAAUUAAUGUUGUUGAAAUAUGAAUAAACCUAGAGUUCUUAAACCC